CCUACGGGUGGCAGCAGUGAGGAAUAUUGGUCAAUGGGCGCAAGCCUGAACCAGCCAAGUCGCGUGAGGGAUGACGGUCCUAUGGAUUGUAAACCUCUUUUGUCAGGGAGCAAAGGGCGCCACGUGUGGCGUUUUGCGAGUACCUGAAGAAAAAGCAUCGGCUAACUCCGUGCCAGCAGCCGCGGUAAUACGGAGGAUGCGAGCGUUAUCCGGAUUUAUUGGGUUUAAAGGGUGCGCAGGCGGAAUGUCAAGUCAGCGGUAAAAUUUCGGGGCUCAACCUCGCUCCGCCGUUGAAACUGGCGUUCUUGAGUGGGCGAGAAGUAUGCGGAAUGCGUGGUGUAGCGGUGAAAUGCAUAGAUAUCACGCAGAACUCCGAUUGCGAAGGCAGCAUACCGGCGCCCAACUGACGCUGAAGCACGAAAGCGUGGGUAUCGAACAGGAUUAGAUACCCGUGUAGUC
Molecule: ribosomal RNA, 459 nt
Filed under: uncultured bacterium
Lineage: Bacteria
Description: partial 16S ribosomal RNA
Rfam family: Bacterial small subunit ribosomal RNA
Source: RNAcentral